GAAUCUAUCUCAUAAUGGGAUCUACUACUGUGCUGUUGCCUCAUGUGGACACAUACUGUUUGGAAAUGGGACCAAGCUGGAGUUGAAGAAUGAGGAGGUUUCUCUUGUCUUGGUGUAUUUCUUGAGUGGUGCUUUGGCGUUCACCACUAUCCUGACACUUUCACUGGCUGCCUUACUGUACACACACAAGAGAAAAGGCCAGCAAGUUACAGAGUCUGAUGCAAGAUUUUCGGCUUCAUAUCCAAUGAACUCAG
Mugil cephalus (flathead mullet) is the source of this 254-nucleotide long non-coding RNA. RefSeq lists it as uncharacterized. Lineage: Eukaryota; Metazoa; Chordata; Actinopteri; Mugiliformes; Mugilidae. The record is from RefSeq and is a predicted model, not a curated record. The transcript is spliced from 3 exons.